Molecule: ribosomal RNA, 422 nt
Filed under: uncultured bacterium
Lineage: Bacteria
Description: bacterial SSU rRNA
Rfam family: Bacterial small subunit ribosomal RNA
Source: RNAcentral
UGAGGAAUAUUGGGCAAUGCCCGCAAGGGUGACCCAGCAACGCCGCGUGGAGGAUGGAUGUCGUAAGAUUGUAAACUCCUGUUAGAGGGGAAGAAUAGUACCGGUUGGACCGGUAUAUGACUGUACCCUCAGAGAAAGCCCCGGCUAACUACGUGCCAGCAGCCGCGGUAAUACGUAGGGGGCAAGCGUUGUCCGGAUUUACUGGGUGUAAAGGGCGCGCAGGCGGGAUAAAAAGUCAGUGGUGAAAUCCUACAGCUUAACUGUAGAACUGCCUUCGAUACUUUUAUUCUUGAGUUCGGGAGAGAGAGACGGAAUUCCAGGUGUAGUGGUGAAAUACGUAGAUAUCUGGAAGAACACCAGUUGCGAAGGCGGUCUCUUGGUCCGACACUGACGCUGAGGCGCGAAAGCGUGGGGAGCAAACA